UGGGGAAUCAUGGUCAAUGGGCGAAAGCCUGAACCUGCGACGCCGCGUGAGUGAUGAAGGUCGUAAGAUCGUAAAACUCUUUUCAGGGAUCUUAAAGCACAACCGUCAACAACGGCUGUGUGUGACUCUCCUUGAAGAAGCCCCCGCCCACUACGUGCCAGGCGCCGCGGUAAUACGUAGGGGGCGAGCGUUAUUCGGAAUUAAUGGGUGUAAAGGGUAGGUAGGCGGCCCUUCAAGUCGCGUGUCAAAGUCCAGUGCUCAACGCUUGGUGUGCGCGCGAUACUGACGGGCUUGAGGGCUGGAGAGGUGAGCGGAAUUCCCGGUGUAGUGGUAAAAUACGUAGAGAUCGGGAGGAACACCAGCGGCGCAGGCGGCUCACUAGACAGUUUCUGACGCUAAGAUACGAAAGCGUGGGGAGCAAACA
Molecule: ribosomal RNA, 424 nt
Filed under: uncultured prokaryote
Description: bacterial SSU rRNA
Rfam family: Bacterial small subunit ribosomal RNA
Source: RNAcentral